GAUGAACGCUGGCGGCGUGCCUAAUACAUGCAAGUCGAGCGAACGGACGAGAAGCUUGCUUCUCUGAUGUUAGCGGCGGACGGGUGAGUAACACGUGGAUAACCUACCUAUAAGACUGGGAUAACUUCGGGAAACCGUAGCUAAUACCGGAUAAUAUUUUGAACCGCAUGGUUCAAAAGUGAAAGACGGUCUUGCUGUCACUUAUAGAUGGAUCCGCGCUGCAUUAGCUAGUUGGUAAGGUAACGGCUUACCAAGGCAACGAUGCAUAGCCGACCUGAGAGGGUGAUCGGCCACACUGGAACUGAGACACGGUCCAGACUCCUACGGGAGGCAGCAGUAGGGAAGCUUCCGCAAUGGGCGAAAGCCUGACGGAGCAACGACGCGUGAGUGAUGAAGGUCUUCGGAGCGUAAAACUCUGUUAUUAGGGAAGAACAUAUGUGUAAGUAACUGUGCACAUCUUGACGGUACCUAAUCAGAAAGCCACGGCUAACUACGUG
This 497-nucleotide ribosomal RNA is filed under the name uncultured bacterium. RNAcentral describes it as "partial 16S ribosomal RNA". It matches the Rfam family "Bacterial small subunit ribosomal RNA", at positions 28 to 507 of the family's 1533-position model. The record is from RNAcentral.